This is a non-coding RNA of Pelobates cultripes (western spadefoot toad), 201 nucleotides long. NCBI's taxonomy places the organism in Eukaryota, Metazoa, Chordata, Amphibia, Anura, Pelobatidae. The record is from the annotation of a GenBank genome assembly.
CAGAGAUACACACAAUCACUCACAUAAUCACAGAUAUACACAAACACAAUCAUAGGCAGGCAGUCACACAUACACACACAAUUACAGGCAGACAGUCACACAUACACACACGCAGUCACAGACAGACAGUCACAGAUAGACAGUCACACACACACACAGAGUCACACAGACAAUCACAGGCAGACAGUCACUCACAGAGAG